AUUAAUGCUCUUCUUUUAUU
RNAcentral lists this small RNA (20 nucleotides) under Arabidopsis thaliana (thale cress). RNAcentral's name for it is "ATSL149220". Lineage: Eukaryota; Viridiplantae; Streptophyta; Magnoliopsida; Brassicales; Brassicaceae. The record is from RNAcentral.